Long non-coding RNA from Polyodon spathula (Mississippi paddlefish), 2272 nucleotides. RefSeq lists it as uncharacterized. The transcript is spliced from 3 exons. The record is from RefSeq and is a predicted model, not a curated record. NCBI's taxonomy places the organism in Eukaryota, Metazoa, Chordata, Actinopteri, Acipenseriformes, Polyodontidae.
AAGAAAAAAAAAAUAGCCACUUAAAUGUGAUCAGGGUUUUAGAAAGCUUUUCUAUGCAACACACUUACCUGAAACCUCAUUCCAUUUAAAAAUUUGGCAUUAGUUGGAUUUCGAAUUAACAGAAGUAUAUAACUGGAACCACAUUACAGCAACUAGAAAUCCCAUCAAAUUACUGAAAGUAAAGCAAACUAAACUUCUGAACAAAACUGUGGGACGCUUGAGAGACGUAUCCACUGGAUUCCAUUACAGUCUCUCGCACACUCCUUUGUAUAUUGUUACAUGAACAGACACAAACACGCCAAGGUCAUUUCAUUUAAAGCAGAUUUAGCUUAUGUUUAAGUUUGUCCAAGCUCAAUAAAAAAGCGACAUUUUAAUUUAAUGUUUAAAAUAAUGUGUUCAGCAACUACUUGGAACAAAAAUGCCCCCCCAACAGCCAUCUGUAAUCAAAGAUUAAUCAAAAGCCUCUCUGGUAUUGACUAAUUAAAAUACAGUAGAAAGCAUGUCAACAGCUGUAGAUGGACAGGCCUGAAUUUCAGGGGGAUUGUACUCCAAGCAUUACAUUAUAUUGGUAAGAGUUAUUUAAAAAAAAAAAAGCCUUUCAAUGCAAGUUAUUUAAAAAAAAAAAAAAAGCCUUUCAAUGCAAGCUAUUUAAAAUGGAUCGUACAUUCUUCAAGUGCGUGGUUUAUAAAAUCCGCACAUUGUAGAACAAACCGUUACUAAGGGUUUGACCCAGUCCAGGUGUACAGCAAUGCUUCAACACGUCCGUUACUAAGGGUUUGACCCAGUCCAGGUGUACAGCAAUGCUUCAACACGUCCGUUACUAAGGGUUUGACCCAGUCCAGGUGUACAGCAAUGCUUCAACACGUCCGUUACUAAGGGUUUGACCCAGUCCAGGUGUACAGCAAUGCUUCAACACGUCCGUUACUAAGGGUUUGACCCAGUCCAGGUGUACAGCAAUGCUUCAACACGUCCGUUACUAAGGGUUUGACCCAGUCCAGGUGUACAGCAAUGCUUCAACACGUCCGUUACUAAGGGUUUGACCCAGUCCAGGUGUACAGCAAUGCUUCAACACGUCCGUUACUAAGGGUUUGACCCAGUCCAGGUGUACAGCAAUGCUUCAACACGUCCGUUACUAAGGGUUUGACCCAGUCCAGGUGUACAGCAAUGCUUCAACACGUCCGUUACUAAGGGUUUGACCCAGUCCAGGUAUAUAGCAAUGCUUCAACAUGUACCCUCCCCCUGCACUUUUUAAGUUCAGUUCUUGAAGUGUACCAAGACAGGUACAUUUUAUUUGAAACCACUAUAAAAGGUAUCAGUACAGUUAAAACCAAAACGGAUCGCUAGUAUGCAUUAACAAGCAAGCCCACUACCCAACACGCCAAUGUUCAGACUACUGGAGCACUUCGAGAUUAUGUAGUUACACAAACAGAUUAGUGUAUUUCUGCAGUAGGACACCUGCCUCCCAGUUUAAAAGGGGUUGUACUUUAUAUUACACUUCACCUCAAAUACAUAUUCGCUGAAAGACCAGCUAUGGAAUUGUAUAAUCUUGCACUAUUCAUGGAGGCAUCUUCCCCCCCCCCCCCCCCCCCCUCUCUCAAAAUUCUGCAAAUAAAAUUCAAAACUAAUCACACUGGACAAUGCCACUUCUAAUCUACCCCCCGCCAGAAAAAAAAGCAGAUCUUGUAGCUUUUUUAUAAAAUUACAUCUCUGGUCUUUCCAAUGGAAGACAUGACUGUUUAAUGUCGUAAUUUAACCAAAUGAUGCACAAAUUAAAAGCUUUUUUAUACCCCUCAAUAGGAGACAAAUGUUUAUUUUGUAAAAAAAAAACAAACAAACUGACAUGACUACUUCCAUACAGUAAUUGUUUAAAAGAAAAACAAAAUAAAAUCACAGCAUCAUGCAAGACUCAGCAGUGUGACUCUUAAAACUGUUACAGGGAGCAACUGAAGACAGCGAGGACAUCUUCUAGGGUGUAGAUCAAGAACGAACACUACUCUGUUAAAAACACUGUCUGCUUGCAGCACAUUUCAGAUCAAUAGUUAGAAUUCAACACAGCAAACCCUCAUCCCUACGGGCACAGUAAUGACAGGGUUCGUUUUAACUAGCUGAAGGCGGAACAGCCAGGCAGGUACACAGCUGCAAGUUUAAAAAGGAGGGUUUGCCCCUUAUAUUUUUUAUUAAUGGAACACAAGCAUGUGUGAUCUUGCAAGUUAAAAAAAAGAUAACGCAAGUCUUUCAUCUUGGGAAAUCACCUUUAAGCACCCCCCCCCCC